Micropterus dolomieu (smallmouth bass) is the source of this 523-nucleotide long non-coding RNA. RefSeq lists it as uncharacterized. Lineage: Eukaryota; Metazoa; Chordata; Actinopteri; Centrarchiformes; Centrarchidae. The transcript is spliced from 4 exons. The record is from RefSeq and is a predicted model, not a curated record.
AGCUGAAUGACACAUCCUCCAUCUAAUGCAUUUUGUGUGUGUGUGUGUGUGUGUGUGUGUGAGAGAGCGAGAAUGGGAUACAUGAGAGAGUUUUGCCACCACAUCUGGCCCUGCGUGUUAAGAGGUCAGGGGUCUGCUGGGUCUUUGGAGCCGUUGCUUGUAUGUGUCUGGAGUGGAGCUGCAGGUGAACGCUACAGGCUAACAUAAUCACAGAUCAGUAGUCUCAUCUUGGACUCCAUCUGGAUGAAUCCUGUUAAAAUUGAUUUUACAUCCAGGCUGCAUUCCCCAUGCAGGACCACUGAAGAAGAUCUGCGCAGGUGGCUUCUGUGUGGAGAACAAAGAAAGUGCUCAGAGACGUCCUUGGACAAAAGAGGAGAAAGACAGUGCUCUUUGGAUAGGAGGCCUCUGAGAUCCAAGGUAUCACACAGCAUCAUGGCAGUCUAUAAGAGGGUGGUCCGUCUUCCUGCCACAAAUGAGCUGGAGGUGAUUGAUGAAGGCGUUCCUUCCGUCAAGUGGCCUGAAC